This 342-nucleotide ribosomal RNA is filed under the name uncultured rumen bacterium. RNAcentral's name for it is "partial 16S ribosomal RNA". The record is from RNAcentral.
UAUUCCCCACUGCUGCCUCCCGUAGGAGUUUGGGCCGUGUCUCAGUCCCAAUGUGGCCGUCCGUCCUCUCAGACCGGCUACGCAUCGUCGCCUUGGUGGGCCUCUGCCCCGCCAACUAGCUAAUGCGGCAUAGGUCCAUCCCUCCGCUGGCCUUGAAGGGCCAUUUAGCGUGCAGGAGAUGCCUCCUGCACGUCUAUGCGGUCUUAGCAGCCGUUUCCAGCUGUUGUCCCCCUCGGAGGGGCAGGUUACCUAUGUUGUCCUCACCCGUUCGCCACUGACCGCCGAAGCGGUCCGUACGACUUGCAUGUAUUAGGCACGCCGCCAGCGUUCAUCCUGAGCCAA